GUUUUGAGUGGGAGUCCUUGUGGAGAGAGAUAUUGGUCCCCAAAGAUUCGCCCCUUUUGAGAAGUGUGGGGUUUUGGGAGUUUCUACCUCCAUGGAAGCUUGAGGAACACUCAUUCCUCUAUUGUGUGAUCAUUGGUGGAUUGAGGCAAGAGGACCAAGUGGAGUGACCAACCCUUGGGGUUGUGUGCAAUUGAGGAAAGCUCAAAGAGCAAGGUACUGAUAGAGGUGAGGUUGAUCGAGGCAAGAAGCGUGAGUAGACUGUACCUGAUAGCUGGACAUGUUGAGUUGCAUGCCAUUUAGCAUUGCUAUAUGUAUAUUUUGAUGCCACAUGAUGUAUUUUGGAGGACUUAGUGCAUGAUCAUUGUAGUAGUAAUGGGUAUCUGAUACAGGGUUACUUGCUUUGAUCAUGUUCAUUUUGUAGC
This is a long non-coding RNA of Gastrolobium bilobum, 422 nucleotides long. RefSeq lists it as uncharacterized. The record is from RefSeq and is a predicted model, not a curated record. Lineage: Eukaryota; Viridiplantae; Streptophyta; Magnoliopsida; Fabales; Fabaceae. The transcript is spliced from 3 exons.